This 406-nucleotide ribosomal RNA is filed under the name uncultured bacterium. Its description in RNAcentral is "partial 16S ribosomal RNA". It matches the Rfam family "Bacterial small subunit ribosomal RNA", at positions 29 to 526 of the family's 1533-position model. The record is from RNAcentral.
AAUGAACGCUGGCGGCAGGCUUAACACAUGCAAGUCGAGCGAGCGGCGGACGGGUGAGUAACGUCUGGGAAACUGCCUGAUGGAGGGGGAUCACUACUGGAAAAGGUAGCUAAUUACGCCUACCAUACGAUGUGCCCAGAUGGGAUUAGCUAGUAGGUGUGGUAAUGGCUCACAUAGGCGAGGAUCCCUAGCUGGUCGGAGAGGAUGACCAGCCACACUGGAACUGAGCCACGGUCCAGACUCCUAGGGGAGGCAGAAGUGGGGAAGAUUGCACAAUGGGCGCAAGCCUGAUGAAGCCAUGCCGGUGGUGUGAAGAAGGCCUUCGGGUUGAAAAGCACUUUCAUCGAGGAGGCGUUACUCGCAGAAGAAGCACCGGCUAACUCCGUGCCAGCAGCCGCGGUAAUUC